Molecule: ribosomal RNA, 508 nt
Filed under: uncultured bacterium
Lineage: Bacteria
Description: partial 16S ribosomal RNA
Rfam family: Bacterial small subunit ribosomal RNA
Source: RNAcentral
GACGAACGCUGGCGGCGUGCCUAAUACAUGCAAGUCGAACGCUUCUUUCCUCCCGAGUGCUUGCACUCAAUUGGAAAGAGGAGUGGCGGACGGGUGAGUAACACGUGGGUAACCUACCCAUCAGCGGGGGAUAACACUUGGAAACAGGUGCUAAUACCGCAUAACAGUUUAUGCCGCAUGGCAUAAGAGUGAAAGGCGCUUUCGGGUGUCGCUGAUGGCUGGAUCCGCGGUGCAUUAGGUAGUUGGUGAGGUAACGGCUCACCAGGGCCACGAUGCAUAGCCGAACUGGGAGGGUGAUCGGCCACACUGGGACUGAGACACGGCCCAGACUCCUACGGGAGGCAGCAGUAGGGAAUCUUCGGCAAUGGACGAAAGUCUGACCGAGCAACGCCGCGUGAGUGAAGGAGGUUUUCGGAUCGUAAAACUCUGUUGUUAGGGAAGAACAAGGACGUUAGUAACUGAACGUCCCCUGACGGUAUCUAACCAGAAAGCCACGGCUAACUACGUG